RNAcentral lists this ribosomal RNA (898 nucleotides) under uncultured bacterium. RNAcentral's name for it is "bacterial SSU rRNA". It matches the Rfam family "Bacterial small subunit ribosomal RNA", at positions 505 to 1397 of the family's 1533-position model. The record is from RNAcentral.
GUGCCAGCAGCCGCGGUAAUACAGAGGUCUCAAGCGUUGUUCGGAAUCACUGGGCGUAAAGGGUGCGUAGGCGGCGUGGAAAGUCAGAUGUGAAAUCCGGGGGCUCAACCUCCGAAUUGCAUCCGAUACUCCCAUGCUAGAGAACUGGAGGGGAGUCUGGAAUUCUCGGUGUAGCAGUGAAAUGCAUAGAUAUCGAGAGGAACACUAGUGGCGAAGGCGAGACUCUGGACAGUAUCUGACGCUCAUGCACGAAGGCCAGGGGAGCGAACGGGAUUAGAUACCCCGGUAGUCCUGGCAGUAAACGGUGCACGUUUGGUGUGGGGGGAUUCGACCCCUUCCGCGCCGGAGCUAACGCGUUAAACGUGCCGCCUGGGAAGUACGAUCGCAAGAUUAAAACUCAAAGAAAUUGACGGGGACCCGCACAAGCGGUGGAGUAUGUGGCUUAAUUCGAUGCAACGCGAAGAACCUUACCUGGGCUUGACAUGCUCUGUGUCGUCGGUGAAAGUCGGCUAGUGUAGCAAUACACGCUUUGCACAGGUGCUGCAUGGCUGUCGUCAGCUCGUGUCGUGAGAUGUUGGGUUAAGUCCCGCAACGAGCGCAACCCUUGUGAUUUGUUGCCACCGGAGUAAUCCGAGCACUCGAAUCAGACUGCCCAGAUCAACUGGGAGGAAGGUGGGGAUGACGUCAAGUCAGUAUGGCCCUUACGCCCAGGGCUGCACACGUACUACAAUGCCCAGUACAAUGUGAACCGAGACCGUGAGGUGGAGGAAAUCUCUUAAAACUGGGCUCAGUUCAGAUUGCAGGCUGCAACUCGCCUGCAUGAAGUUGGAAUCGCUAGUAAUGGCACAUCAGCUACGGUGCCGUGAAUACGUUCCCGGGUCUUGUACACACCGCCCGU